GCUCCUGGAGCCGAGGCCAGUCGCAGAUACCAGCUGGCUGCAACUGUUUAAUAAAAACACAGCACUGUGCAAACACGAAAGUGGACGUAUACGGUGUGACGCCUGCCCGGUGCUGGAAGGUUAAUUGAUGGGGUUAGCCGCAAGGCGACGCUCUUGAUCGAAGCCCCAGUAAACGGCGGCCGUAACUAUAACGGUCCUAAGGUAGCGAAAUUCCUUGUCGGGUAAGUUCCGACCUGCACGAAUGGCGUAAUGAUGGCCAGGCUGUCUCCACCCGAGACUCAGUGAAAUUGAACUCGCUGUGAAGAUGCAGUGUACCCGCGGCAAGACGGAAAGACCCCGUGAACCUUUACUAUAGCUUGACACUGAACCUUGAGCCUUGAUGUGUAGGAUAGGUGGGAGGCUGUGAAGUGUGGACGCCAGUCUGCAUGGAGCCAUCCUUGAAAUACCACCCUUGAAUGUUUGAUGUUCUAACGUCGGCCCGUCAUCCGGGUUGCGGACAGUGUCUGGUGGGUAGUUUGACUGGGGCGGUCUCCUCCCAAAGCGUAACGGAGGAGCACGAAGGUUAGCUAAUCACGGUCGGACAUCGUGAGGUUAGUGCAAAGGCAUAAGCUGGCUUGACUGCGAGAGUGACGGCUCGAGCAGGUACGAAAGUAGGUCUUAGUGAUCCGGUGGUUCUGAAUGGAAGGGCCAUCGCUCAACGGAUAAAAGGUACUCCGGGGAUAACAGGCUGAUACCGCCCAAGAGUUCAUAUCGACGGCGGUGUUUGGCACCUCGAUGUCGGCUCAUCACAUCCUGGGGCUGAAGUAGGUCCCAAGGGUAUGGCUGUUCGCCAUUUAAAGUGGUACGCGAGCUGGGUUUAGAACGUCGUGAGACAGUUCGGUCCCUAUCUGCCGUGGGCGUUGGAAGAUUGCAAGGGGCUGCUCCUAGUACGAGAGGACCGGAGUGGACGCACCACUGGUGUUCGGGUUGUCAUGCCAAUGGCACUGCCCGGUAGCUAAGUGCGGAAGAGAUAACCGCUGAAAGCAUCUAAGCGGGAAACUUGCCUUAAGAUGAGUCUUCCCUUACCCCUUGAGGGUACUGAA
RNAcentral lists this ribosomal RNA (1082 nucleotides) under Xenorhabdus thuongxuanensis. Its description in RNAcentral is "bacterial LSU rRNA". It matches the Rfam family "Bacterial large subunit ribosomal RNA", at positions 1760 to 2832 of the family's 2925-position model. Lineage: Bacteria; Pseudomonadati; Pseudomonadota; Gammaproteobacteria; Enterobacterales; Morganellaceae. The record is from RNAcentral.